GGACUACCGGGGUAUCUAAUCCUGUUUGCUCCCCAUGCUUUCGUGCCUGAGUGUCAGGAACGAGCCAGUAGACUGCUUACGCCAUCGGUGUUCCUCCUAAUAUCUACGGAUAUUACCCCUACAUUAGGAAUUCCAUCUACCUCUCUCGUCCUCUAGCCUAGGAGUUCAGAUAAUGUAUACAUAGUUGAGCUAUGCGCUUUCACUGUCUGCUUUCUAAGCCACCUACGCAACUCUUUACGCCCAGUAAUUCCGGAUAACGCUUGGAUCCUCCGUAUUACCGCGGCUGCUGGCAC
RNAcentral lists this ribosomal RNA (293 nucleotides) under uncultured bacterium. RNAcentral's name for it is "partial 16S ribosomal RNA". The record is from RNAcentral.